Molecule: long non-coding RNA, 914 nt
Filed under: Elaeis guineensis (African oil palm)
Lineage: Eukaryota; Viridiplantae; Streptophyta; Magnoliopsida; Arecales; Arecaceae
Description: long non-coding RNA (EGUI_LNC003350)
Source: RNAcentral
AUUCAUUGGUAGCCAUGACUUUCAUCAAGAAGCAUCAUAGGGAGGCCAGGCAACCUGAUCGAGGGUCCAGUGUCAAGUGAUGAAAGCACCGGUGGCCAAAAAAAGAAGAAACCAAAGUCAGAAAAUAGGGGAAGGCAAUCAUAAUGGAUUUUCGAUGAAGUUGAUGGCCGACGGCAAGACUCGAGGCCAUGGGCAGAAUAGGAAUAGAGAGAGCAUGUGGGUUCGGAGCCUUACCUUAGCUCCAGUGGGCUCUCAAACCUCAAUUUAUGGGGAGCAUGGUAAUGGUAUAUUGUGGAUUCAAUGAUAAAAGAGGGAAGAGAGAGAGAGAGAGGGCCCGUGCUCAUGGUGACUUAAAGGAGGUUUAAGGAGUGUUUAAAUAGAGAUGGAGACUAGGGAUUUCCUAGUCUCCGACAGCCAUUGAGACUCCGACUCCAUUUGGGAGUCGUUGAGGAAGAAGACUCCUUCAUGCUUUUUUUUUAUUCGGCGGGGUUUUGGGUCAACUUGGUGAUGCGCCAAUCCAAUGGACUGGAUCAUCAUAGUAAGGGCUGGAAAACAUAGGAUAUCAUCCAUCUUUUUGGUAGUUUGCUCGUUGAUCGGAUUCUUGCCAUUUCGAUUCCCAUCCAUCGAAGUUAGGACGUAAGGAUAUGGGGCCGAUCAUGUUAUCCUAAGGCUCCCAUGAGGGAUUUGUUCAAGAUGUAUAGGCUUACGCCAGAUAGGAGGAUCAAGAUUGUUUGGAUAUGGAGAGUGGUUGCGCAUCUCAGGAUAAAGACUUUUUGUCUGGAAGGUUGCUUGAGACCAUCUUCCGAUGCAAACGUUACUCAAAGAUAGAGGCAUGGACCUUUUGGUUUCUUGCCUGAUCUGCGAGUUGGAGGGCAAAUCAAUAGAGCAUGUCCUCCUACAUUGUUCGAGGGUGA